Heterocephalus glaber (naked mole-rat) is the source of this 520-nucleotide long non-coding RNA. NCBI's taxonomy places the organism in Eukaryota, Metazoa, Chordata, Mammalia, Rodentia, Bathyergidae. The record is from Ensembl.
CUGACCUGGUUCUCCACAGCCUUGACUGACCUUGAGCUUCUCUCUUCUCAGUUGUGCCCGUCCCACCCGGGUUCUCAUCUUCAAGAAGGCUUUCCUAGAUCACUGGCCCAGGGAGGGCAUUUUAAAAAUGGGCCCAACAGGUUUCUAACUGAUCCGUCUGUCCCCAAGCAUCCUGAGGCUCCUCUGAUAGCAUGCAUGACUUACAGAUCUCAGAACGUCUUUGACUUGUUUAGAAGUCUCUGAUGAUUCCCUCCUAACUUAAGGUAUCUGCACCAGCACAAGAGACUCUUUGCAGCAUGAUCAGUGAGCAGUGGAUCAGACAGCUGAACUGUUGAUUUAAUUGGCAUGAAAUAACUAAGCCAUCUGCUCUGUGGAGUUGAUCUUUUAAGUGUUAUUCUCCUAUGUGCUCUGAAAUUUCUUGGCCACUUAGAAAGACCAUGGAUGUCAGAUGGCAGGGACACUGAGGCAUGAGAAGAUUAGUCUGGUGAGUGCUGGCACAACACAGAAGAUGAGGUUAGCG